This 66-nucleotide transfer RNA is filed under the name Echinostoma caproni. It matches the Rfam family "tRNA", at positions 9 to 63 of the family's 71-position model. From Rfam's summary of the family: Transfer RNA (tRNA) molecules are approximately 80 nucleotides in length. Their secondary structure includes four short double-helical elements and three loops (D, anti-codon, and T loops). Further hydrogen bonds mediate the characteristic L-shaped molecular structure. tRNAs have two regions of fundamental functional importance: the anti-codon, which is responsible for specific mRNA codon recognition, and the 3' end, to which the tRNAs corresponding amino acid is attached (by aminoacyl-tRNA synthetases). tRNAs cope with the degeneracy of the genetic code in two manners: having more than one tRNA (with a specific anti-codon) for a particular amino acid; and 'wobble' base-pairing, i.e. permitting non-standard base-pairing at the 3rd anti-codon position. Lineage: Eukaryota; Metazoa; Platyhelminthes; Trematoda; Plagiorchiida; Echinostomatidae. The record is from Rfam by way of RNAcentral.
AGCUCAGCUGGUAGAGCAUGCGCGUACAAAGCGUAGGCGGCGUCCAUGCGUGGGUUCGAAUCCCAC